RNAcentral lists this small nuclear RNA (115 nucleotides) under Polymyxa betae. The record is from RNAcentral. Lineage: Eukaryota; Endomyxa; Phytomyxea; Plasmodiophorida; Plasmodiophoridae.
UCAUCUUUUUGUCGCUAACCGGCAUUCGCAAGUCGCCUUUUACUACCUGCGACCGGUUAUCGGUGAACUAAGGAUUUCUAUCAAUCCACUUUUUGGAACCCACUGACGUUCGGGU